Molecule: ribosomal RNA, 1283 nt
Filed under: uncultured bacterium
Lineage: Bacteria
Description: bacterial SSU rRNA
Rfam family: Bacterial small subunit ribosomal RNA
Source: RNAcentral
CGAGCGAAGCAUUUAACAUGAAGUUUUCGGAUGGAAUGUUAUCUGACUGAGCGGCGGACGGGUGAGUAACGCGUGGGUAACCUGCCUUAUACAGGGGGAUAACAGUUAGAAAUGACUGCUAAUACCGCAUAAGCGCACAGUACCGCAUGGUAGUGUGUGAAAAACUCCGGUGGUAUAAGAUGGACCCGCGUCUGAUUAGCCAGUUGGCGGGGUAACGGCCCACCAAAGCGACGAUCAGUAGCCGACCUGAGAGGGUGACCGGCCACAUUGGGACUGAGACACGGCCCAAACUCCUACGGGAGGCAGCAGUGGGGAAUAUUGCACAAUGGGGGAAACCCUGAUGCAGCAACGCCGCGUGAGUGAAGAAGUAUUUCGGUAUGUAAAGCUCUAUCAGCAGGGAAGAAGAUGACGGUACCUGAUUAAGAAGCCCCGGCUAACUACGUGCCAGCAGCCGCGGUAAUACGUAGGGGGCAAGCGUUAUCCGGAUUUACUGGGUGUAAAGGGAGCGCAGACGGCAGUGCAAGUCUGGAGUGAAAGCCCGGGGCCCAACCCCGGAACUGCUCUGGAAACUGUGCGGCUAGAGUACUGGAGGGGCAGGCGGAAUUCCUAGUGUAGCGGUGAAAUGCGUAGAUAUUAGGGGGAACACCAGUGGCGAAGGCGGCCUGCUGGACAGUAACUGACGUUGAGGCUCGAAAGCGUGGGGAGCCCUUAAGAGAUUUUUUCUUCUNNUUCUCCNCNNCCNUNNNAGGACCCCUAUAGGAAGUGCGGGGUGCUUNGCUUCCCGGUGCCGCCGCAAACGCAUUAAGCAUUCCACCUGGGGAGUACGUUCGCAAGAAUGAAACUCAAAGGAAUUGACGGGGACCCGCACAAGCGGUGGAGCAUGUGGUAUAAUUCGAAGCAACGCGAAGAACCUUACCAAGUCUUGACAUCCUUCUGAAAGGCCCGUAACGGGGCCCGGCCUUCGGGACAGAAGAGACAGGUGGUGCAUGGUUGUCGUCAGCUCGUGUCGUGAGAUGUUGGGUUAAGUCCCGCAACGAGCGCAACCCCUAUCCCCAGUAGCCAGCAGUAAGAUGGGCACUCUGUGGAGACUGCCAGGGAGAACCUGGAGGAAGGCGGGGAUGACGUCAAAUCAUCAUGCCCCUUAUGAUUUGGGCUACACACGUGCUACAAUGGCGUAAACAGAGGGAGGCGAAGGAGCGAUCCGGAGCAAACCCCAGAAAUAACGUCCCAGUUCGGAUUGCAGGCUGCAACCCGCCUGCAUGAAGCUGGAAUCGCUAGUAAUC